CCUGAUCCCAUUCCGAACUCAGAAGUGAAAUGCAGUAGCGCCGAUGGUAGUGUGGGAGUUCCCAUGUGAGAGUAGGACAUUGCUAAAC
Molecule: ribosomal RNA, 88 nt
Filed under: Colwellia sp.
Lineage: Bacteria; Pseudomonadati; Pseudomonadota; Gammaproteobacteria; Alteromonadales; Colwelliaceae
Source: RNAcentral